RNAcentral lists this small RNA (1657 nucleotides) under Pongo abelii (Sumatran orangutan). Its description in RNAcentral is "retained intron". The stretch from base 759 to 829 matches the Rfam family "Small nucleolar RNA SNORD49". Lineage: Eukaryota; Metazoa; Chordata; Mammalia; Primates; Hominidae. The record is from RNAcentral.
AGGGCCUGGAGCACAUAAGGUGUGACCUUUUCAUUCCCGUUGUCAUGGAGGGCCACAUCUGCCAGAGCCUGGAGUCUGCGAAGGCCGGGACCCGGUUCCCCGGCCCGCCGUGGGGAGUGUGCAAACCCGAGAGAACUGGGUAAGUUGGGGUCGGCUUGCAGUUUGGGUUACCCCGAGGGCGGUGUACGUCGGUAAGAUUGUAACAGUAUUACUGGAAGACUUACUCGACUGUCCUGAUGAUACUUGUAAUAGGAAGUGCCGUCAGAAGCGAUAACUGACGACGUCUAACGUCUAUCUGACCGCAGUCGCUGAAACCUCUACAACUUAGUUGACCGUAACUGCCAGAGCCCUGCCCUGAAUUCCUGUCCUUACUCCCUCUUUCAGAUUGCGUACCCACUGCAGAGGGCUGAAGACGGGGUAGCCACGAGGUAAGAGGCUCUCUGGGGCAGGGUUUAACAUGGAACGUAGUUUUGUCAUCUUAAAUGCACGGAAAUUGGCGUUUUGACAGUUUUCUACGUUUAGGUGUUUAUACACUUCAGGGUAACGUAUCAAGUCAUUGCAUAGGGUGGAACUUAAAUAGAAACUGGAGAUGGCUGCUUCAGCCACAGUCCUAACCUAGAACUGCAUUUAAAGCAAACUAAUAUGCAGAAACAAACUCCUUCGUUAAGAAAUGUCUCCAGUAGCAGGGUUAGCUUAAGUUUCAGGUAGGGUUUAGAUCUGCGGUUGGAGCAGUACUGGAGGGCUGUGAGGUGCUUGACUGCUCUGAUGAAAUCACUAAUAGGAAGUGCCGUCAGAAGCGAUAACUGACGAAGACUACUCCUGUCUGAUUGCAGUCAAGUCUUCACCACUUGCUGGUUCCCAGGAGUAAACUUGUGUGAACGAUGACCUAAUUGCUAUAUUCACCUAGGUUGCAAAUUCGUGAAGAAUCAGCAGCAUGUUUGGCAGCUGAGUAUUGGAGCCAGGAGCCUGCCAUGAGGUUUUGAGAACAGGGUGCUGUUUUAGAGCUGGCAGCAGCAUCUCAGCCCAAGAGAAGGUUAUAUUCCCAGAGGAUGUCAGUCCCAAGGACCAGUAGCUGCCAUCAGUUUGGAUUCUGAAAACUAACCGGCAUCAACAUUGGGUGUAGAAACAUGCUUGCCUUGUGUAUCAGAGGACAUGCUCAGCAGAUCCAAGAGAUAUAUUUGGCAACUUUUUCUAGAAAAGGCACAUUAGGUAUCAUUCAUUACAUUCUUGAGUUUUUUUGGGGUUUUUUUUUUUUUUGAGACAGUCUUGCUGUGUUGCCCAGGCUGGAGUGUGGUGGCACAAUCACAGCUCAUUGCAGCCUCAAUCACCCAGGCCUAAGCAAUCCUCCCACCUUGUAGCUGGGACUACAGCUCACAGCACACCUGGCUAAAAUUUUUUUUUGUUGAGACGGAUUCUCUAUGUUGCUCAGGCUGGUCUCAAGCUCCUGGGCUUAGAUGGUCCUCCUGCCUCAGCUUCCAAAGGCACAGGCCAAGUUGUAGCUUUGUCCCUUGCCAUCAUGCCCAACAAGAGGUUCUAUACCUUUUAAUGAACUGACUUUCAUAAAUUGGUUAUGUUGGUGGGCAAGUUCUUUAAGCUGGAAAUUGUAAAUUCCUCCUGAAAUGUUUUUUCAUGCAGUUACCAUGAACUAAUACUACAA